CUUACACAUGCAAGUCGAACGGCAGCACGGACUUCGGUCUGGUGGCGAGUGGCGAACGGGUGAGUAAUAUAUCGGAACAUACCUUGUAGUGGGGGAUAACUAUCCGAAAGGAUAGCUAAUACCGCAUACGAUCUAAGGAUGAAAGGGGGGGAUCUUCGGACCUCGUGCUAUAAGAGUGGCCGAUAUCUGAUUAGCUAGUUGGUGAGGUAAAGGCUCACCAAGGCGACGAUCAGUAGCUGGUCUGAGAGGACGACCAGCCACACUGGAACUGAGACACGGUCCACAACUCCUACGGGAGGCAGCAGUGGGGAAUUUUGGACAAUGGGGGCAACCCUGAUCCAGCAAUGCCGCGUGAGUGAAGAAGGCCUUCGCGUUGUAAAGCUCUUUUGUCAGGGAAGAAACGGUUGUGGCUAAUAUCCAUGGCUAAUGACGGUACCUGAAGAAUAAGCACCGGCUAACUACGUGCCAGCAGCCGCGGUAAUACGUAGGGU
RNAcentral lists this ribosomal RNA (491 nucleotides) under uncultured Herbaspirillum sp. Its description in RNAcentral is "bacterial SSU rRNA". It matches the Rfam family "Bacterial small subunit ribosomal RNA", at positions 48 to 533 of the family's 1533-position model. Lineage: Bacteria; Pseudomonadati; Pseudomonadota; Betaproteobacteria; Burkholderiales; Oxalobacteraceae. The record is from RNAcentral.